AGAGUCCACAUCCAGAAGGCUGGAGCCGUGUUUCACUGACAGGCUGUCAGCCUAACGCCCUGAUGAGCUCAGCUGGGACAAACUGGUUUGAUGUUUAGGAACACAGAACGUUCAGAUGUUGAAGCUUCACGUCACCUACUGAGGAAGGAGACCCACCAGUAAAGAGACGGUCUGGACCAGACCAAAAAUAUGGCGAUGACAUCAUGGAACUGGUCUUUGGAAAAGUUUUCCCUGAACCAACUCCGUUUCUAGAUGAGGUAGAGAAGAUCUGCAUCUCACCAACCCUCUGGUCUCAGUAUUCAGACAACGGAGGUCUCCCACUGGUAUCCAGGACCAGUUUGAAGCCCACAUACAGCCCCUCCCUCAUCAUCAGGAAACAUCAAUCCGUAUCCUGAGGACAACAGAAGACGGCAGGAGGAUAGGAACUCUGAGACCUAGAUACCACCAGCACCGGGACCCAAAGCACCUGUGUGCACAACGCCGGUUUAACUACUAAAGCCUGUUUAUUAUAUUGUUCUACUUAUUUGCUGUGAGGUUAAUACUUAGACCACCUUCGGCGGUGGUCUCUUUGAGGCUCUGUCCAUUCUGGGCGCCACGGAUCUGAUGGUCCACCCCCCAUGAACUCUUCCUCGGGGUUCACAGGUAGGUA
Molecule: long non-coding RNA, 649 nt
Organism: Nothobranchius furzeri (turquoise killifish)
Lineage: Eukaryota; Metazoa; Chordata; Actinopteri; Cyprinodontiformes; Nothobranchiidae
Source: RefSeq, a predicted model, not a curated record